This 520-nucleotide unclassified non-coding RNA is filed under the name uncultured Glomus. RNAcentral's name for it is "SSU rRNA". It matches the Rfam family "Eukaryotic small subunit ribosomal RNA", at positions 569 to 1091 of the family's 1831-position model. The record is from RNAcentral. Lineage: Eukaryota; Fungi; Glomeromycota; Glomeromycetes; Glomerales; Glomeraceae.
AGCAGCCGCGGUAAUCCAGCUCCAAUAGCGUAUAUUAAAGUUGUUGCAGUUAAAAAGCUCGUAGUUGAAUUUCGGGACCAAUUUGUUGGUCGUGCCUCGGUACGUACUGGUAUUAUUGGUUUCUCCCUUCUGAAGAACCUCGAUGCCAUUAAUUUGGUGUCGUGGGGAAUCAGGACUGUUACUUUGAAAAAAUUGGAGUGUUUAAAGCAAGCAUACGCUUGAAUACAUUAGCAUGGAAUAAUGAAAUAGGACGUUUGAUUCUAUUUUGUUGGUUUCUAGGAUCGACGUAAUGAUUAAUAGGGAUAGUUGGGGGCGAUUAGUAUUCAAUUGUCAGAGGUGAAAUUCUUGGAUUUAUUGAAGACUAACUACUGCGAAAGCAUUUGCCAAGGAUGUUUUCAUUAAUCAAGAACGAAAGUUAGGGGAUCGAAGACGAUCAGAUACCGUCGUAGUCUUAACCAUAAACUAUGCCGACUAGGGAUCGGAUGAUGUUAAUUUUUUAAUGACUCAUUCGGCGCCUUAC